Molecule: ribosomal RNA, 493 nt
Filed under: uncultured bacterium
Lineage: Bacteria
Description: partial 16S ribosomal RNA
Rfam family: Bacterial small subunit ribosomal RNA
Source: RNAcentral
GACGAACGCUGGCGGCGCGCUUAACACAUGCAAGUCGAACGGAAAGGCCUGCUUUCCCUUGUGGAUUGCGGGUACUCGAGUGGCGAACGGGUGAGUAACACGUGAGUGAUCUGCCCCCAACUUGGGUAUAAGCCUGGGAAACUGGGUCUAAUUCCCGAUAGGACUGCAGGGUGGUGCCUGUGGUGGAAAACGAUUUUCUAGUGGUUGGGGAUGAGCUCGCGGCCUAUCAGCUUGUUGGUGGGGUAAUGGCCUACCAAGGCGGCGACGGGUAGCCGGCCUGGGAGGGUGGACGGCCACAUUGGGACGGAGUUACGGCCCAGACUCUACGGGAGGCAGCAGUGGGGAAUAUUGCACAAUGGGCGGAAGCCUGAUGCAGCGACGCCGCGUGGGGGAUGACGGCCUUCGGGUUGUAAACUCCUUUCGACCGCGAGGAAGCCACCUGGUUGGAAGGGUGGUGACGGUAGUGGUAGAAGAAGCACCGGCUAACUACGUG